This 521-nucleotide long non-coding RNA is filed under the name Ananas comosus (pineapple). RNAcentral's name for it is "long non-coding RNA (ACOM_LNC026534)". The record is from RNAcentral. Lineage: Eukaryota; Viridiplantae; Streptophyta; Magnoliopsida; Poales; Bromeliaceae.
AGAAAAAAUAUCCGUGUUAAAAAAAGAAGGGUAAAGUUCAUGUAGCUCUCUGUAAAUAUAUCGAAUAACAAAUAUAUCCCUACAAAGUUUAAUUUUUCAUAUUUAUAUCCCUUCAAAAGUCUAGUGAUAUUCAUAUUUUACUCCUCCGGUAUGUUAUCGUUAGGGCAUUAUUUAACUUUUAGCAGAAGAUAAGUGAAAUGACAUUUUUGCCAUUACAGAUAUGUCCCUCCAAAAGUUUCAACUGUUAAAAUUAUGUAGAAAUAUUUUUCUAAAAAUCUCUAACAGUUAUUUUUUUUUUCUCUACCAUCACAAAUAAUGUAAGAGGAGUAAAAAAGAUGAAUUUAUAUUAUUCACUAAUCAGAAUUAAGUUUUUUUAACCUAUGGUUAAUUAUAUAUUUCCAAUGGAUCCUAAAAUCAGGAGUAUAUUUGAAAACACUAGAAUUUUAUAUGAAAAGCUAAUUUUUUAGGAAUAUAUAUAUCUACUAUUCGUUAUGUUUAUAAGUAGCUGUACUAUACAAUUA